GGGGUCGUAGCAUAACUGGUAAUGCACUUGUAUGGCAUACAAGCGAUUGUGGGUUCAAAUCCCAUCGACUCCAC
RNAcentral lists this transfer RNA (74 nucleotides) under Streptomyces phage Jay2Jay. RNAcentral's name for it is "tRNA-Ala". It matches the Rfam family "tRNA". Rfam says of the family: Transfer RNA (tRNA) molecules are approximately 80 nucleotides in length. Their secondary structure includes four short double-helical elements and three loops (D, anti-codon, and T loops). Further hydrogen bonds mediate the characteristic L-shaped molecular structure. tRNAs have two regions of fundamental functional importance: the anti-codon, which is responsible for specific mRNA codon recognition, and the 3' end, to which the tRNAs corresponding amino acid is attached (by aminoacyl-tRNA synthetases). tRNAs cope with the degeneracy of the genetic code in two manners: having more than one tRNA (with a specific anti-codon) for a particular amino acid; and 'wobble' base-pairing, i.e. permitting non-standard base-pairing at the 3rd anti-codon position. RNAcentral also lists the same sequence under 16 other names. The record is from RNAcentral. Lineage: Duplodnaviria; Heunggongvirae; Uroviricota; Caudoviricetes; Stanwilliamsviridae.